CCGAGCUCCUGGAUCCCCGCCUGGCACCGCCUGUGACGUCAUUCCUGGUGCGCGUACCUGAAGCCGGGCGUCUGGACCUCCGCGCUGCCCCUCACUAGCUGCGUCCGGGGCGGUCACCCUCGCGGGACCUCAGUUUCUGCCCUUGUAAAAUGGGGACAGCUGCGUCCUUGUACUUCAAAGGCUAGUGAUGUGGUUGCUGCAAAUGUAAAAUGUACGGCUCGUGCUACACUUGCCAUUCCUAACGUGGGUGACAGUCCAGCCAAAAUACCCUCGAAAAAAAGAGCCCCAGCGGUGAUUUUUGCUUACUCUUGUCUGAAAUACUUAAGUAUAACUAUAGAAUAUGUUCAGUGAAAACACCUGAAGGAGAGCAAAGCGCAGUAGUAAGCUUCCAUCUUGACAAAUUGUUGAACCAAAAUAAAUCAUUGCAAUUACUGCAUGACUUCAACAUCAAACAAGUCGGAGGUUCUGCAGGUAAAUGAUUUAUUUUGUUUUAGCAUGAACGUUUUCACAAAUAUCUAGAGAUCAAAACCAAAACACAUUAUUUUGGCUAUGGGAGGCUUCAUUUGAUACUUAAAAUUCCAUUUUCAUUACCAGUCUCAGUUCAGAAAUCGUCCCAAAAGUUAUAUGACCUCGUAAAUGUUUUUCAUCAUAACAAUAUCAGGCCCAAAUAUUAAAUAUUCCUUUCUCUUCUGUGCCAAAGUUCUUCUCCUUAUCCUCUGCCCAAUGUUCUUGCACACUUCGUAUGCCAUGUAUAACUAGAACCUAAAAACCAAAACCUUUAAAAACAAAUAAUCAUUUGAAAAUCAUCUACACCUUAAAAACUGGUUGGAAAUCCAUAAAGCUCUGUAUCCUGGUAAUCAAGUUAUGUUGCUGCUGAAGUAAACAAAUUAGUACAUGAUCUGAUUCUGUAUGGUGGCAUUAGCAGGGAAUUGAAACAGUCCGAAAUAGCCAAACCAAACUCGGCCAUAAAUUGAAAACGAAAAUAAAGAACCAAUUGUUAAGACUUCAUGAAUUGGCAUUCAUAAACAACACAGCUCUGCAUUAUAUGUAUUCAAAAUAUCUUCCUUCUUACUGGCAAGAAGGGAAAUCAACAAUCUUUAUUACUAAAAAUUUGUGGAAUAUUUAUAAAUGCAUGAUUUUAUUUUCCAAACUGGCAAUUAAAUAUCAAACUACAAUUUUCA
Long non-coding RNA from Sapajus apella (tufted capuchin), 1181 nucleotides. RefSeq lists it as uncharacterized. NCBI's taxonomy places the organism in Eukaryota, Metazoa, Chordata, Mammalia, Primates, Cebidae. The record is from RefSeq and is a predicted model, not a curated record. The transcript has 2 exons.